This 491-nucleotide ribosomal RNA is filed under the name uncultured bacterium. Its description in RNAcentral is "partial 16S ribosomal RNA". It matches the Rfam family "Bacterial small subunit ribosomal RNA", at positions 29 to 506 of the family's 1533-position model. The record is from RNAcentral.
AGUGAACGCUGGCGGUAGGCCUAACACAUGCAAGUCGAACGGCAGCACAGUAAGAGCUUGCUCUUACGGGUGGCGAGUGGCGGACGGGUGAGGAAUACAUCGGAAUCUACUUUUUCGUGGGGGAUAACGUAGGGAAACUUACGCUAAUACCGCAUACGACCUACGGGUGAAAGCAGGGGAUCUUCGGACCUUGCGCGAUUGAAUGAGCCGAUGUCGGAUUAGCUAGUUGGCGGGGUAAAGGCCCACCAAGGCGACGAUCCGUAGCUGGUCUGAGAGGAUGAUCAGCCACACUGGAACUAGGAACCGGUCCAGACCCCUACGGGAGGCAGAAGGGGGAAAUUUUGGAAAAUGGGCGAAAGCCUGUUCCAGCCAUCCCGCGUGGGUGAAGAGGGCUUUCGGGUUGUAAAGCCCUUUUGUUGGGAAAAAAAACAAGCAGGUUAAACCCCCGCUGUUCUGACGGUACCAAAAGAUUAAGCACCGGCUAACUUCGU